AAAACAAAUAUAUUUAAAAAUACUUAUGUUCCUGUCCUUCCUCUGUGACAACGUCCCAGGUCGUGUACUUUCAGCACAUCCCUGAGGAGCCUCUUCUGUGACCUCCUAUGUCCCGAGGUCACAAUAUCUCCAUUGGCAACAAGGCUGGGUUUGUAUUUUCUCAUUUAUGGCAUUUCUUUCUCUUUACUACCGUGCUACAGUAGAGCUCAUUUUUCUCUCUCAAGCUUCUGGUGUUUUUCCCUUGACAACAUUAAUCCUCAUGAAUGGCAGCAGCAGCGGCGCCUGUAGGAUAGGUCCCCCUGCAGCACAGGACGAUAAAUUGUGGAGGAUAAAUCGACUGUACAGAAGCGUAGAUGAAGAGCGAAAUGUUCCGUUUCUUUCGCGCAUCCAGAACUGUGCUUCAUAGGCUGAGAAAACGUCUUAGAUAAAUAAACUCCGUGAGGCUGGGGUUUAAAAGCAGGAAGCAGCUGAACGCGGAAACUGCCUAUUGGACUAUCAUCUGUUUAAACACCGAGAAGGAUCCUGCGAAAUCUAAAGUAAAUACAAAGGCGCAUUUGAGCAAUCUUUAAAAGAGGCUUAAAACAAACCCUAUUUAAUCCUUUUAAAUGGUGCAUCUCCCCCAGCGGAAACAGAACAUGCCAAUUAGUUGAACAUCCUGACAAACAAAAUCUCUCAGGGCUGCACAGUGAAGGGAGACAGGUGCAUCCACUUAGUGAGGUCUUUUAAGGGGAAGCCAGCUGCAUUUCUGAACAUCUACAUGGCAUAACAAAAUGAAGACAGCAUACUUGAAAGGGAGGUAAUGGCGGUGAGUGCCCAAGAGCCAGGAAAAUGAGAAGGAGAAAGGUUGUACUACCCGCCCCACUGAUGUCCUCUUCCCUCUGCUGGGAGGCUGGCAGUGUUCCCAUGCGGAAGAUUCUUUCUGCCUGGGACUGAGAACGGAACUGACUGAACAGGAGAGCUGAUGAAGCAGAGCUGCACCAGCCUGCAGAGGAUGAGAAGCACAGGCGAGUAAUACAGCUUUGUUUCUUCAAGUUGCAGACAGCUUCUGAGGUUGGUUGUUACCCUGGCAAAGCUUGGUCUGUGCUGACUGAUACAGUGGUCCAGAAAGGCAGGGCAGAGCUCAUACGGGUGGACAAUGCUGGGCAUCCAUUCCUUCAUUCGUUCACACAUUCACUGACUGCUUUUGGAGUAAACAUGGGGAUGAGAUGAGCAAAUGUGAUUCCUGCCUUCAAGUUGCUUAGAUCAUUUCAGGGAGACACAGAGCAGCAUAAACCACUGCACAGCACUGCCA
Molecule: long non-coding RNA, 1291 nt
Filed under: Equus caballus (horse)
Lineage: Eukaryota; Metazoa; Chordata; Mammalia; Perissodactyla; Equidae
Description: lncRNA (ENSECAG00000053813.1)
Source: RNAcentral